CUCAAGUCGGAUUAGCUAGUURGUGGGGUAAAGGCCUACCAAGGCGACGAUCUGUAGCGGGUCUGAGAGGAUGAUCCGCCACACUGGGACUGAGACACGGCCCARACUCYUACGGGAGGCAGCAGUGGGGAAUAUUGGACAAUGGGGGGAACCCUGAUCCASCCAUGCCGCGUGUGUGAAGAAGGCCUUAUGGUUGUAAWGCACUUUAAGCGAGGWGGAGGCUACUGAGACUAAUACUCUUGGAUAKURGACGWUACUCGCARAAUAAGCACCGGCUAAC
Molecule: ribosomal RNA, 280 nt
Filed under: uncultured Pseudomonadota bacterium
Lineage: Bacteria; Pseudomonadati; Pseudomonadota
Description: uncultured proteobacterium partial 16S ribosomal RNA
Rfam family: Bacterial small subunit ribosomal RNA
Source: RNAcentral